RNAcentral lists this non-coding RNA (45 nucleotides) under Schistosoma mattheei. The record is from RNAcentral. Lineage: Eukaryota; Metazoa; Platyhelminthes; Trematoda; Strigeidida; Schistosomatidae.
AUUCAGCUGAUGAAUCCAAAAUAGGACGAAACGCAUGUCCUGGUU